UACGUAGGGGGCAAGCGUUAUCCGGAUUUACUGGGUGUAAAGGGAGCGUAGACGGACUGGCAAGUCUGAUGUGAAAGGCGGGGGCUUAACCCCUGGACUGCAUUGGAAACUGUUAGUCUUGAGUGCCGGAGAGGUAAGCGGAAUUCCUAGUGUAGCGGUGAAAUGCGUAGAUAUUAGGAGGAACACCAGUGGCGAAGGCGGCUUACUGGACGGUAACUGACGUUGAGGCUCGAAAGCGUGGGGAGCAAACAGG
Molecule: ribosomal RNA, 253 nt
Filed under: Blautia obeum
Lineage: Bacteria; Bacillati; Bacillota; Clostridia; Lachnospirales; Lachnospiraceae
Description: partial 16S ribosomal RNA
Rfam family: Bacterial small subunit ribosomal RNA
Source: RNAcentral